Long non-coding RNA from Cyprinus carpio carpio, 2047 nucleotides. The record is from Ensembl. Lineage: Eukaryota; Metazoa; Chordata; Actinopteri; Cypriniformes; Cyprinidae.
CUCUUCUGUCCUUGGACUCUGUAGGUUCUCGUAACGGUCCCGUCUAACCAUAGUGCCAACAUCAGCAGUGCCAGGUUUAUGCCUGAGUCCAGCGAUCACUGGAUUGUGUCUGCAGCAGGAGAUGGAAAUAUUCAUCACCCACAGCCCUGUGCUCAUCCAGUACAAAUAUACCUGCCACCACGGGACAGCCUAUUAGGUACAAGGAGAGUCCAGCUCCAGUGCAUCACUGAUGCAGAGAAUGUCAGACAUGUUUUCCAGGUGGUACGAGGAAGCGCAGAAUAACAGAGAUCAAUCCCACUCACGCACAAGAAGUACCACUUCUGAACCAGCACAAGUUGAGCCUAGUGCAGAGACAGUGACCCAUGCACAAGACACACAGGGGCGGACUUACCCAUUAGGCAAAGACAGGGAUUCCGCUUCCUCUGUGUCUGUCAGCAGUGCCUCCGCAGAGCUUGUUCUUAGUCUGCACUACAGUCCAGAAGGCUCCUCCACCAGCACCAUGACACUGAACCUCACCGGUCAUUGGACUGAUGCUGGGUCGAGCUGUGGGCGUCCCAAUAGCACAGGUAUCAGUGAACAGGAAGGCAGCUCUCCAGAACCAUGCUCAGGACCAGCUGAUGUUAGGCCUCGUGGAAAUGAAAAGCGUGCAUGUCGCACUGCGGUCAACUUUACAGUCAAGUUUGUGAACUUGUGUCAACAGCUGAAGACACAAACAGACAAAACAGCACAUCUGGAGAGCCAACAGCAGAUCAGGAUGACAGUAGUGAGGAGACCAACCACACAUCCUCAACAAACAACAAUCCUCCACUCACACAGAGGUUCAUCUUAUUAAAGCUUUAGUUUCAGACGGCAAAUAAACUCCUUCAGGGUGAUACUAGCCUUGUGAUCAUCCUACCAGGUUUUAUUUUGUACAGUAAGCCUGUCAUUAUCACAUUAAUUUCACAAUGCUGUUGUAAUUUACCACUCACUUUUUUAAUUUUUUGGUCUGCUGCUUUCAGAUUAAAUUUCAGAGGAUCAGUGAUCGGUGAACGGGUUCUGAAGUGAAAAAUAUAUUGUACAUACACUAUUGCUCAAAAGUUUUUGAAAGAAUAUUAUUAAACAAAUAUGUAAUCAUUAAAAAAAUACAGCAAAUCAUAUAAUAAAUACAUAUAAAUAAUUAUAAAAUACAGCAAAACCUUUUAUAUUGUGUAAUAUUAAUACAAUUUAAAGUAACUGUCUAUUGUAAUAUAUUUUAAAAUUGUCUUUUUUUUUUUCCUGUGAUGCAAAGCUGAAUUUGUCUAUAGAUGGCAAGAAAUCUUUUGCGAUGUAUUAUAUACACACUAAAGUUCAAAACGUUGGGGAAUUCUUUUAUUCAGCAAGGCUGCAUUAAACUGAUCAAAAGUGACAAUAAAGACAAUUUAACUAGUUACACUAAAAUAUUAAGUAGCACAACUGUUUUCAACAUUAAUAAUAACAAUAAAAAUGUUUCUUGAGCAGCAAAAUCAGCAUAUUAGAAUGAUUUCUGAAGGAUCAUGUGACACUGAAGACUGAAUAUAUAUAUAUAUAUAUAUAGGUUCCAUCCAAAUUUUCUGCUUUAAAUGGGUCAUAUGAUGUUGCUCAAAAGAACAUUAUUUUGUGUAUAUGGUGUAAUGAAAUGUGUUUAUGCGGUUUAAGGUUAAAAAAAAACAGAUUAUUUUCCACCCACUGUACAUUAUUGUUUCUCCUCUAUGCCCCUCCUUUCUGAAACGUGUAGUUUUUUACAAAGCUCAUCGUUCUGAAAAGUGAGGUUCAAGCAUGUUACGGAAAUGUUAUGCCCCUUGCCAUACUGUGAUGUGUGUCUUGGUAAGAACACCGGCGCAACAAGAUAAAAACAAUAAAACCCAUUACAAACAAGCCAUUUUUUUUGCAUCCAGUGGGGACAUAAUUACAGAUUAUAAUGAUUUAUACUGUGUUUUUACGUGUUGCGUUGAAUCGCACCGCGUAAACAUAAAAUCAUGUCUGCACUUGUGAUUGGAGAAACGACAAACAACAAGCGCUACUCUGCUCAAAACUCGUGUUUGAAUCGUCC